This 73-nucleotide transfer RNA is filed under the name Ovis aries (sheep). It matches the Rfam family "tRNA". From Rfam's summary of the family: Transfer RNA (tRNA) molecules are approximately 80 nucleotides in length. Their secondary structure includes four short double-helical elements and three loops (D, anti-codon, and T loops). The record is from Rfam by way of RNAcentral. Lineage: Eukaryota; Metazoa; Chordata; Mammalia; Artiodactyla; Bovidae.
UCCCUGGUGGUCCAGUGGUUAAGACUCUGUACUUCCAAUGCAGGGGACACAGGUUUGAUCCUUGGCUGGGAAA